Molecule: long non-coding RNA, 3654 nt
Organism: Carassius gibelio (silver crucian carp)
Lineage: Eukaryota; Metazoa; Chordata; Actinopteri; Cypriniformes; Cyprinidae
Exons: 3
Source: RefSeq, a predicted model, not a curated record
CCCUCUCACUCACCUCGUUCCGUAAAGGGUCGAGCUGGUAGACGUUCUGCAGCUGAUUUCUUAGCCGCAUAGCUAUCGCCAUCGGACCUUGCUCCGCCAUCUUUGGGAAUUCUGCAUACUUCCGGGUAACGGGAGAGUGGACAUCUGAUGGGGUCAUCGCACAUCUGAGUGACAGCACCUUCCUCCACAUACAAAUCACGCCUUUGGGGAGGACAGAGCUCUGAUGAUAGUUGAACACAUCAAAGAGAAAAGACAGAGGUGCCGAACCCUUUGGCGUACCGUGGCAUUUAUUUCUUCACCGUAUCUCAGACAGUUUAUGGACAGUAAGUCCUUCUCUUGUUGCCUUUUGUCUAUACACCUAUCAAAUCCUUCCCGCUUUUCUCCCUAUAUCUACAAUAAAAUAACGAUCUGAUUGUUUCACCUGCCAGCCAAAGGCUAUCAAAGUAAAGAAGAUAAGGUAAACUAAUGUCCAAUUGCUGGAGUCAUUUCCAUUGGAAUGAGUUCAGUUCAGAUGGAGAUAGGAGAGGGAUGUUACAGAAGUUUUAAUAAAAACAUGUCACUGAAAUCAUAGGCCAUACAAUAUGUUUCUUGUUGAGAUUCAUUCAUGUGAGGCAGAAGAACCAGAACAUGUUUUACUAAAGCAAUUGCAAUUGCUGACUGCCUUCACCCUGAAUUGAAGCCAGAUCUUGAUAAGUGGAAACAAUCCGACUCAUUGAUUCAUUAUAAAGCUGCUUUAUUUUCCUCACCGCAAAGAUGUGUAAAAGCUUACACAGAUUGACUGAAGUUAUGUAUCCAGUAGAGCGUGUUCUAUAUUUAAAUUAUUUGACGAGAACUGCAUAAAACUUGGAAAACUAGAAAUGUAUUGUCUGGUAUUCCAAAGGGAUUCCACAACACUUGUCUAAUAUGCUAUUUCCUUCUAAAUUAAGGGAUUUAGUAUGUCUCCUGUUGGCAAAAAAGAGAAAAGAAAAGGAAAAGACUGCCAUGCUGAUUUCAGUGCCCCUGGCCUAGACCUGUUCACCCAAAUCUCCAAAAACAACCAAACAAACAUUCAUACCGGAUAGGAGGCUCGCCUGCCAAGUCAUGCCAGAGUGAGGCCUUCUGUUUGGUGCACACAGACUUUUGCCUCCCCCUGUCCCAGAGCAAUCAGAGCAUGUAGGGACGGACACCGAGCUUUUUGUUUUCGCCUGCUCCAGCAAUUAGCUGCCAAGUGGUAAGCUAAUGAAGAUAACCUCCUCCAAGCCCUGAUCAGAAACCAGGGCGCUGAUGACAGCUCAAAACACAAAGACUCUUACGAGAAAAGAGGGGGUAGUUUGGGACCAUUUUAUUGUUAUAAUUCUGGUUUUCAAAACAGAUUGUUAAAACUAAAUUCUGAUCCGUCAAGCCAUAUUUAAAGAGUUAUUUAAAAAAAAUUACACGUGUGUAACUGUGACUGCACAUCAUUUUAAUUCUAUAUUAAUGCUUCAGGUUGCAUAACAGUUUACAGUUACCUGUAUACAUCAAGAGGCACAACUGAUUUGCAUGCUUUGUUUUUGCGUAUUAAUUCUUAGGACAUUGCAUGACUUGCAAUACAUAGUUGACAAGUACAAUACUGGCUGAUAUAUUAAGUCCUUAAAAUUACAAUAUAUAUAUAUAUAUAUAUAUAUAUAAUUUAUUAUUUUCAUAUUUUACAUCAUUUGAAUGAAUAAGUGUAUUAACAGGCUCUUUGAAUGUGUAGUCAGAGCCACUUAACUCCAUCAGCUCCUAUACCCCGAUGAGUUGAUUGGCAUGCUAGCUGUUGAAUAGGGAAUGAGCAAAGUGAACUGAGCACUGCACAAUGAUGAACAACACACAUUUGACCAUUCUUCCUGUUAUGUUCCAUAUCUAAUCUUUUAAUUGUUUAUUUAAAUAUUCACAUACUCUCUUAUGGUAAUCUGCACUCAAAACAAGACAGUCCAUAAAGAUUUGGAUUGUUUUAAAUAUAAUGAACAGACAGUUUUUUCCCCACCAGUGGGCGCUAGAGCCGAGAAGUGAAGCCUCAUGGGCAGCUGAUUAUUCUCAAUUAUUUUGUAACUGCAGUUCACCUAGACAAACUGCCCCGUCUGUAUGUCUAUUCUCUAAUGACUGGCAAUAUUCCUGUAAUUUGGGUGUGUCAGCAUAUCCUGUCUGGUACACUCUGAAGCCAUGCAGCCCAGUGUGAUCAGUGAGUGUGGGCCAACUAGCUCUAAAAGGUAGGCUAUGUUAAUAUUCAAAAUGCAUAUUUCAACCAGUGUGGUUAACACAAAUAUAUGUUCUGUUUAUUAUUCUAGGUAUAUUUUUGGAACGCAUGAUAUAAAUUCAGUACUUCACAGAACCAAUUCAGGUGCAGUACUAGAUACAAAGUAAAACAUUGAAAGCCAAACUAAGAAGGCAGGUAAGGUCUUGAAACACUUUGCAUAUUGUAUACAUUUCUGUAUAUUUGAACUGGUGUAUUUAAUUGUAAAUGUCCAGAGAAAAACACCAGAGUUAUAAUGAAAAUGUCAUAAAAUGCACUCUAAAAUGCUGGGUUAUUUUAUUUAUUUUUUAAUCCAAAUGCUGGGUACUUAUUAUUGUGUUGUUUUUAAUAUUUAUACCCAAGUGUUGGGUCAUUUUAACGCUUGGUUAUUUUUUUCUACCUAACUGCUGGUCAAAACCUCUCAACACUGCAGUUCAGGUCAUAAACCCUGCCCUCUCCAUGUAAACGAAUGGGACAUGAGUUAAUAUUAAAAAUAAAAAAAUUACACUUCCAAUACAAUUUACCGAAAGAUGUUUUGGUCAUUUAAGGUAGUUGUCAUCACGCUGAUAUAUUUUCAGUUGUUUGUUUUUGUGAUAAGUUUGAUUUUAGCUAGUAAUUUGAUGCUUUAAAAUGUGGCAUGUCGUUAUGGUUGAUUAGGUCUGUAGGAGUUUGAUACAGACUCUGGCUCCAGAUGACAUCUUUUACUCAAGAUGGUAGCGGCCAUACUGAGAUGCUUUGGCUGUAGUGGAAGGAAGUGGAGACGCGUCGUCCAUCUUUUUUUUACAGUCUAUGGCUAUUUAAGUCCACAUAAGAGAGCUGUCUGCCAGUAUGUUGCAUUCUUUCCGGGAAAUAAAGGUUUUGGAAUCAGUCACGCCAUCUCAGCUAUGAGUGAAACGCAGCAACAGUAUGUUUCCACACGUAGCGAGCGCAGCGGAAUGAGUGUCUUCAAUUAAUUCCUAUGGAACUUUAGCUUAAAUGCUUGCGCAUUGCAUUAUGGGAUUGAAAUCAGCACAGAGAAAGUGUUGAGAGUUGACCAUUCCUCGACUUGAAGAUGAAAUGCAAACAGGGUGUAAUGUAAACAUAGUUUUCUGAGGCGUGCUCUGCCCUAAAUUUGACAUACCCCAAAGCAGUGGCGUUGUAGCAUUGCCAGCGGCACUGAGGGAGAUUUGAUGCCGUAGUGAAAUCGCAGCUCCCCCGUGAACAUCAGCACUUCACCGGCUCAGAUUUCGGCGACACACCGGCAUGAGGAUUAGCACUCUUUCAGUAAAAAGCAAUUAUAGAGAACGGUUCAAUACACUUAAAUUAGAAUGCCAUUUUUAAAUGUGCCUUUUUAUUUCUAAAAUGGUUGUUAAACGAUCAAUUGUUUAUAUGUAAUAUUGUAAACUAUGCUGUAUUCAUUGCAAUAAAUUCAAUUUGUCUUUUGU